UAACUUCCAAGAAUGAAGCCGUGGACGUUCACAGUCAAGAUCUAAGCAAACACACAAAUGUGAACAACAGGGAAAGAACCCAUUGACCUACCAAGACAGGCUGCCAACAGAAUUUUGAAGGCUUGCCAAGAUGCUUUUAUGGAGGUAGAGUGAAUGAGAUUCCGUAAGUGCAAAAUAAUCCUUUUAAGACUACCCAGAAAGUAAUAUAAGUGAACUAGUUAUAUAAGAUUCAGUGAGGACUACCAAAACAUUGGGAAGAAAUGUGGAUUUU
Molecule: long non-coding RNA, 271 nt
Filed under: Homo sapiens (human)
Lineage: Eukaryota; Metazoa; Chordata; Mammalia; Primates; Hominidae
Description: non-protein coding LINC02398:22
Source: RNAcentral